Molecule: ribosomal RNA, 462 nt
Filed under: uncultured bacterium
Lineage: Bacteria
Description: partial 16S ribosomal RNA
Rfam family: Bacterial small subunit ribosomal RNA
Source: RNAcentral
GACGAACGCUGGCGGCGUGCUUAACACAUGCAAGUCGAGCGGAAAGGCCCUUCGGGGUACUCGAGCGGCGAACGGGUGAGUAACACGUGAGUAACCUGCCCCAGACUUUGGGAUAACCCUCGGAAACGGGGGCUAAUACCGGAUACGACACAGCUUCGCAUGGGGUCUGUGUGGAAAGUUUUUCGGUUUGGGAUGGGCUCGCGGCCUAUCAGCUUGUUGGUGGGGUGAUGGCCUACCAAGGCGACGACGGGUAGCCGGCCUGAGAGGGCGACCGGCCACACUGGGACUGAGACACGGCCCAGACUCCUACGGGAGGCAGCAGUGGGGAAUAUUGCACAAUGGGCGGAAGCCUGAUGCAGCGACGCCGCGUGAGGGGUGACGGCCUUCGGGUUGUAAACCUCUUUCAGCAGGGACGAAGCGUAAGUGACGGUACCUGCAGAAGAAGCGCCGGCCAACUACGUG